RNAcentral lists this ribosomal RNA (466 nucleotides) under uncultured bacterium. RNAcentral describes it as "bacterial SSU rRNA". It matches the Rfam family "Bacterial small subunit ribosomal RNA", at positions 28 to 507 of the family's 1533-position model. The record is from RNAcentral.
GACGAACGCUGGCGGCGUGCCUAACACAUGCAAGUCGAACGGAGCUAUUGACUUCGGUUGAUAGCUUAGUGGCGAACGGGUGAGUAACGCGUGAGCAACCUGUCUUUCAGAGGGGGAUAACAACGAGAAAUCGUUGCUAAUACCGCAUAAGACCACACUGUCGCAUGGCAGAGGGGUAAAAGGAGCAAUCCGCUGAUUGAGGGGCUCGCGUCCCAUUAGAUAGUAGGUGAGGUAACGGCUCACCUAGUCUGCGAUGGGUAGCCGAGCUGAGAGGCUGAACGGCCACACUGGAACUGAGACACGGUCUAGACUCCUACGGGAGGCAGCAGUGGGGAAUAUUGGGCAAUGGGCGAAAGCCUGACCCAGCAACGCCGCGUGAGGGAAGAAGGUCUUCGGAUUGUAAACCUCUGUUCUUGGUGACGAAAAGAUGACGGUAGCCAAGGAGAAAGCCCCGGCUAACUACGUG